This 450-nucleotide ribosomal RNA is filed under the name uncultured Diversispora. RNAcentral's name for it is "SSU rRNA". It matches the Rfam family "Eukaryotic small subunit ribosomal RNA", at positions 569 to 1022 of the family's 1831-position model. Lineage: Eukaryota; Fungi; Glomeromycota; Glomeromycetes; Diversisporales; Diversisporaceae. The record is from RNAcentral.
AGCAGCCGCGGUAAUUCCAGCUCCAAUAGCGUAUAUUAAAGUUGUUGCAGUUAAAAAGCUCGUAGUUGAACUUCGGGGUUUAUUCAUUGGUCAGGCUUAAUUGUUUGUACUGGUGAAAUGAAUCUCUACCUUCUGAGGAACUUUCAUGCCAUUUAUUUGGUGUGAUUGGAAAUCAGGACUGUUACUUUGAAAAAUUAGAGUGUUUAAAGCAGGCUAACGUCUGAAUACAUUAGCAUGGAAUAAUGAAAUAGGACGGACUGGUUCUAUUUUGUUGGUUUCUAGGAUCACCGUAAUGAUUAAUAGGGAUAGUUGGGGGCAUUAGUAUUCAAUUGUCAGAGGUGAAAUUCUUGGAUUUAUUGAAGACUAACUACUGCGAAAGCAUUUGCCAAGGAUGUUUUCAUUAAUCAAGAACGAAAGUUAGGGGAUCGAAGACGAUCAGAUACCGUCGUA